RNAcentral lists this unclassified non-coding RNA (235 nucleotides) under Hevea brasiliensis (rubber tree). The record is from RNAcentral. Lineage: Eukaryota; Viridiplantae; Streptophyta; Magnoliopsida; Malpighiales; Euphorbiaceae.
CUCUUCCUUCUCUCUCUUUCUGCUUCGCUUCUCGAGGAGCUGCAAUAAGACAGACUAGCAGCUAUGCAAUUCUUGCGGGGUUUAUCAAGGAUUUCGAGAAGGCGGCCUCCGCUUGUUUCUUUCUCGUCAACUAUACCCGUUCCCUGUCGCCAAUAGUUCCCAGCUUCUUGGAGACUCUACUCAGAAGGUCUUUAAUCGCAGAGAAACUUAUUCCUGGAGUUUAGUUGACUCGCAU